GUUGAACGCUGGCGGCAGGCCUAACACAUGCAAGUCGAAUGGUAACAGGAAACAGCUUGCUGUUUCGCUGACGAGUGGCGGACGGGUGAGUAAUGUCUGGAAAACUGCCUGAUGGAGGGGGAUAACUACUGGAGACGGUAGCUAAUACCGCAUAACGUCGCAAGACCAAAGAGGGGGACCUUCGGGCCUCUUGCCAUCAGAUGUGCCCAGAUGGGAUUAGCUAGUAGGUGGGGUAACGGCUCACCUAGGCGACGAUCCCUAGCUGGUCUGAGAGGAUGACCAGCCACACUGGAACUGAGACACGGUCCAGACUCCUACGGGAGGCAGCAGUGGGGAAUAUUGCACAAUGGGCGCAAGCCUGAUGCAGCCAUGCCGCGUGUAUGAAGAAGGCCUUCGGGUUGUAAAGUACUUUCAGCGGGGAGGAAGGGAGUAAAGUUAAUACCUUUGCUCAUUGACGUUACCCGCAGAAGAAGCACCGGCUAACUCCGUG
RNAcentral lists this ribosomal RNA (490 nucleotides) under uncultured bacterium. Its description in RNAcentral is "partial 16S ribosomal RNA". It matches the Rfam family "Bacterial small subunit ribosomal RNA", at positions 28 to 507 of the family's 1533-position model. The record is from RNAcentral.